RNAcentral lists this ribosomal RNA (485 nucleotides) under uncultured bacterium. RNAcentral describes it as "bacterial SSU rRNA". It matches the Rfam family "Bacterial small subunit ribosomal RNA", at positions 28 to 497 of the family's 1533-position model. The record is from RNAcentral.
GAUGAACGCUAGCGGCAGGCUUAAUACAUGCAAGUCGAGGGGCAUCAAGGUACACGAAAGUGUAUUGUUGGCGACCGGCGGACGGGUGAGUAAUAGGUAGGUAACCUACCUCAUACUGAGGCAUAGCUGGGAGAAAUUCCAGGUAAUUCCUCAUGAGGUUAUAUGACACAUGUGAUAUAAUCAAAGGUAUCGCAAGGUACUGGUAUGAGAUGGGCUUACUGACCAUUAGCUAGUUGGUGAGAUAAGAGCUCACCAAGGCGAAGAUGGUUAGGGGUUUUGAGAGAGAGAUCCCCCACAUUGGAACUGAGAUACGGUCCAGACUCCUACGGGAGGCAGCAGUAGGGAAUAUUGGGCAAUGGGCGAAGCCUGACCCAGCCAUGCCGCGUGAAGGAAGACGGCCUUAAUGGGUUGUAAACUUCUUUACUAUGCGACUAACUAGAUUUACGAGAUAAUUCUAUAGAAUGUAGCAUAGCAAAAGCACCGGA